Molecule: long non-coding RNA, 3703 nt
Organism: Orcinus orca (killer whale)
Lineage: Eukaryota; Metazoa; Chordata; Mammalia; Artiodactyla; Delphinidae
Exons: 2
Source: RefSeq, a predicted model, not a curated record
CUUUCAUUCAUUUUGAUAACUUCCUCAUUUGUAAAAUGGGAACAAUAAUAACCCUUAUCUCAAAGGGUAUUUGUAAGACUUAAAUGACUUAAAAUAUAUAAAGUGCUUAGGGCAGUUCUUAAUGUAAUAAUUGUUAGCCUUUAUCAUCAUGAUAAUCAUUUGCUGCUCUCAUGAAGAGAAACAUAAUGUAACUUUAUUGAAGCAAUUUUACACUAGGUUCAAAACACUGCUGUAGAUGUGUUUACAUUUUGCUGGAGAGACACUGCCGUUUUGCAUUGUGAAGGCGUUGCUUGAUAAUGAUGAUUGAUAUCAUUUCUUGCGUGUUUUUUAAACAGAGUAUAAAUGAGGACCACUCAGUUAACCGUGUCAAGCCCACUGUUUAAGAACAAUGCGAGGGCCAGAAUAUACCAGGCAGAUACUGCGUAAAAGUGAAAAGAGAAAUCUCAACAGAAACAGUGCUCUCUAGGAUGAAUAGAGCAUGUUUUCCUGGCAGCUGGGUCCUGACGUUUUAAUCCAUUUGGCGAGCCCACCGCAGUGGCCCAGACUCUGUCUGUGGCUCUAGCCCUGCUCCCCAAGAUUCUAGGCUCCUUGUGGCCUGUGGUUCUGCAACUCAGCUGGUCGGGAGGGCAGGAAGGAAGGGUGGACCCGCUUGACAUUUCCUGUCUUGCUGUGAGUCACUGAUACCAAGUACUUUUCUUGCACUUCUCUGCCUACUAUCCGGAGAGCAGGAAUGCGGCCACAGAAGUCAAACCGGAACCAUCCUCUGCGUCAUGAUAACGGCUCUCACGCGGUAAACUAGUGUGGUCUGCACCGAUAUCAGGGGGCACACCCUCCCUGUGCAGGCAAGGAACUGAAGGAUGGGCUCGCCAUUACAUUAUCCUUUGUGAGAAGAGGAUGGUGACACUUAGGAGAAAGAAAAUCCUCCUGUAUCACUUUGGUGCAGUGGAAAGGAGUCUCAUUUUGGAGAAGGAAGACAAAAUUUCCAGUUCUGACUCGGCUGGGAAAGAUUGUAAGCCCGUCUCACACCUGCUUCCCUUCUACUCCCUGCCUGCCUGCCUGCAUUGCCAACAAACUGAAGUUGAAUAUGGGGUUUUAAGAUUCCUAAGACAUGCAGAGGGGGCUUGAAAAUUACUCAGAGGAGGACAUAUGAAGACAGAGGCACAGAUUGGAGUGAAGAAGCCACAAGCCAAAGAAUGCCUGUAGCCACCAGAAGCUGGAAAAGGCAGAGAUUUCCCUCUGGAGCCUCCAGAGGAAGUGCAGCCCUGUGACACGUUGAUUUUGGCCCAGUGAUGUCAGUUUUUGAACUUCUAGCCUCCAGAACUGUAAGAGAAUGAAUUUCUGUUGUUUUAAGCCACCCAGUUUUGGUAAUUGGUUAUAGCAGCCACAGGAAUCUAAAACAUACAGACUUUUACAGUGGCAAAUUUUCACCCCAUCUCUUUAAUGUUGCAGGUAGUUCUGAUGUUUUCACAAAAAACCCUGGAGAGGAAUAGUCCUAUGAGUUGAACUACAAGAAUUCUAUAUAUAGGGAGAUAUAAAGAACUAGAAAAGGAAUGUUGCUGACAUGAUGAUUCAAUAGAAAUGGUAUCCAAUUGCAUAAGCUAUUGCAUUAGCCUUUAAGGUUUCUGUAAGGCCAAGAAGAAACUUCAUAAAUGUUAGAGAAAUAAACACCGAUUUGAGUAUUUUAAUCUUCUUCCCUUUAAUUACUUAAAAAAUUAUUUUUCAAACUAUAAGGAUAGCAUAAUCACAUUGAGUAACCUUUGCAAAAUAGGCAGGAACAAAGUCACAUAAAAUCCUCAAUACAAUUGUCAUCACUUUGUUACAAUCGCUUGCAUUCACUUUCUCCUUUUAAAUGGUAGUAGUCAUUUAAUGCCUACACUAUUGUAUACUGAAUUUUUUCACUUAAUAAAUAUGCAACUUUUGCUAUUGUUACUUAGUCUUUAUAACUGUUUUUUUUAAAAGAUAAAACAGUUUUAAAGAUAAAACUGAGCACGGGCUCAGUAGCUGUGGCUCACGGGCUUAGUUGCUCUGCGGCAUGUGGGAUCUUCCUGGACCAGGGAUUGAACCCAUGUCCCCUGCAUUGGCAGGUGGAUUCUUAACCACUGCGCCACCAAGGAAGCCCAGGGCUGGAUAAUUCUUUGUUGUUGGGGGCUGUCCUAUGCAAUGGAGAAUGUUUAGCAGCAUCCUGGUUUCUAUUCCACUUGAUGCCGUAGCUUUCCCCUCACACAGCUGUGACAACCAAAAAUGUUUCCAGACAUUGCCAAAUGUGACCUGGCAGGCAAAAUAUCACCUUGUUGAUAAUCAUUGUCAUAGAAGCUAAGUUCAAUCAUUGGACAAUCCAAUACUAAAAUCCAAGUUUGGUGCUUUUUAUCAACUUUUAAUGGUCUUGUUCCACCAUUUCUAUGGAAACUUUUGAACUCAUGAUAGUAAGAUGACUGCUGCAUCUCCAAGUGUCACAUAUACAUUUCUGGCAGGAGAAGAUGAUUAACAAAUAAUGAGAGGCAAGAACACUCCUCCCAAAGAGGCCAUCUUUUUAUUGAGAAGGGAUGCCCUCCCUAGUGACUCUACCUACAUAUUAUUGGUCAGAAGUGUAUCACACGGCCACCUCUAGUCAUGGUAAAAGCUAGGAGUUCAAAUUAUUGGCUUUAACAGCGUCUAUAAUAGAGCAGGAGGAAGGAUAUAUGUGAAUGUUUUUUGAAUAGCCCGUCCAUAACAUUUGCUAAAUUUCCCAUUCUAGUUCACUUACUUCCCUGUGGCAGAUGGGAUGGGCAAGAAUUUGGAAGUUGCUCAAGAUGUUUAGUCAUAUAUAUGUGAAGUCUUGCUGUGCUGUGAGUUAUUAUCUAGAAAGUGCUUCAUGAAAUCCUUUCCAGCUGAUUGAUUUGGUGAUUUUUUAAAAAUUCUGUUUUCUCUGAAUUAGGAAAGUGUAUUCAUUCAUGGACAAGUAGUGUCAUUGAAAGGACCCAGUUAAUUUCAGCUAGAAAGGUCACUACUUCAAACCAGCAGUGCUUUUACCAGUUGUAAUAAACAUGCCUGUCAAUUCAUAUCACCCACAGGCCAAUGUUUAGAAGACCCAUAUUGGUUUCAUUUCCCAUCCAGCAAUAUUCAGCAGUGUCCCAAAGUGCUAGGUGCCAGCGGCAUCUGAAGAUGUAGAGGACGUGGAUACAUCAGACAUAUAAUAAGGACACAAUACAAGCAGCAGAACAAAUCACUACCUAAAAGCAGAACUGUCUGCUUAUAUCCCAAGUAGCUGAGAAAUUUUAAUUAUGCACUUUUCAAUUUUUCCAUUCAAAGAAACAUGCCCCUACCCAAGUGCUGGGGUUGAACUGUAUCUCCCCAAAAGAUAUAUUGAAGUCCUAGCCCUGAGUAUCUGUGACCUUAUUUUGAAAUAGUGUCUUUGCAGAUGUAAUCAAGUGAAUAUGGGGUCACUAGGGUGGGCCCUAAUCCAUUAUGACUGCUGUCCUUCUAAGAGAAGAGACGUAAAGACAUCUAAGGAGAAAACCAUGUGACACCCAGGCAGGAACUGGACUCAUGAGUGAUAAGCCGAGAAACACCAAGGAUUGUUGGAAAUACCAGCAGCUAAGAGAAAGGCAUGGAAAAGAUUCUCCCUUAGAGCCUUCAGAGAGAGCAUGGCCCUGAAGACACCUUGAUUUCAGACUUCUAGCCUCCAAAACUGUUUGAGAGAAUAAACUUCUGUUGUUCAAAGCUG